GCAUUAAUGGGGUAGUGGUAACCUGGGUCGUUACCAUCACAUGUGGCUUUAUGGUCCUUUUCUCGACCCGCCGGGGGUUCGAUUCCCUCUUAAUGCA
Molecule: non-coding RNA, 97 nt
Organism: Armillaria nabsnona
Lineage: Eukaryota; Fungi; Basidiomycota; Agaricomycetes; Agaricales; Physalacriaceae
Source: the annotation of a GenBank genome assembly